AUUGAACGCUGGCGGCAGGCCUAACACAUGCAAGUCGAGCGGAUGAAGGCAGCUUGCUCCUGGAUUCAGCGGCGGACGGGUGAGUAAUGCCUAGGAAUCUGCCUGGUAGUGGGGGAUAACGUCCGGAAAGGGGCGCUAAUACCGCAUACGUCCUGAGGGAGAAAGUGGGGGUUCUUCGGACCUCACGCUAUCAGAUGAGCCUAGGUCGGCUUAGCUAGUUGGUGGGGUAAUGCCCUACCAAGGCGACGAUCAGUAACUGGUCGGAGAGGAUGAUCAGUCACACUGGAACUGAGACACGGCCCAGACUCCUACGGGAGGCAGCGGUGGGGAAUAUUGGACAAUGGGGGAAAGCCGGAUCCAGCCAUGCCGCGGGUGUGAAGAAGGUCUUCGGAUUGUAAAGCACUUUAAGAGGGGAGAAAGGGGAGGAAGUUAAUACCUCGCUGUUUGGACGUUACCAACAGAAUAAGCACCGGCUAACUUCUG
Molecule: ribosomal RNA, 483 nt
Filed under: uncultured bacterium
Lineage: Bacteria
Description: partial 16S ribosomal RNA
Rfam family: Bacterial small subunit ribosomal RNA
Source: RNAcentral